GGGCGCUUAGCUCAGUUGCGUAGAGCGCCGCCCUUACAAGGCGGAGGCCGGGGGUUCGAGUCCCUCAGCGCCCA
Molecule: transfer RNA, 74 nt
Filed under: Actinomycetota bacterium
Lineage: Bacteria; Bacillati; Actinomycetota
Also listed under: 1 other name
Description: tRNA-Val
Rfam family: tRNA
About the family: Transfer RNA (tRNA) molecules are approximately 80 nucleotides in length. Their secondary structure includes four short double-helical elements and three loops (D, anti-codon, and T loops).
Source: RNAcentral